AAGACGGUCUUGCUGUCACUUAUAGAUGGAUCCGCGCUGCAUUAGCUAGUUGGUAAGGUAACGGCUUACCAAGGCAACGAUGCAUAGCCGACCUGAGAGGGUGAUCGGCCACACUGGAACUGAGACACGGUCCAGACUCCUACGGGAGGCAGCAGUAGGGAAUCUUCCGCAAUGGGCGAAAGCCUGACGGAGCAACGCCGCGUGAGUGAUGAAGGUCUUCGGAUCGUAAAACUCUGUUAUUAGGGAAGAACAUAUGUGUAAGUAACUGUGCACAUCUUGACGGUACCUAAUCAGAAAGCCACGGCUAACUACGUGCCAGCAGCCGCGGUAAUACGUAGGUGGCAAGCGUUAUCCGGAAUUAUUGGGCGUAAAGCGCGCGUAGGCGGUUUUUUAAGUCUGAUGUGAAAGCCCACGGCUCAACCGUGGAGGGUCAU
RNAcentral lists this ribosomal RNA (434 nucleotides) under Staphylococcus aureus. RNAcentral's name for it is "bacterial SSU rRNA". It matches the Rfam family "Bacterial small subunit ribosomal RNA", at positions 202 to 626 of the family's 1533-position model. Lineage: Bacteria; Bacillati; Bacillota; Bacilli; Caryophanales; Staphylococcaceae. The record is from RNAcentral.